AUAAGCGGGGGCGCUGUCAUGGCUGAGAUAACACGAAAGUGUUUGUCCCUUAGAACUUGAUCCGGAUAAUGCCGGCGAAAGGAGUUUCAUUAA
This 93-nucleotide non-coding RNA is filed under the name bovine gut metagenome. RNAcentral's name for it is "TPP riboswitch (THI element)". It matches the Rfam family "TPP riboswitch aptamer (THI element)", at positions 7 to 92 of the family's 105-position model. Rfam says of the family: Vitamin B(1) in its active form thiamin pyrophosphate (TPP) is an essential coenzyme that is synthesised by coupling of pyrimidine and thiazole moieties in bacteria. The record is from RNAcentral.